Molecule: transfer RNA, 76 nt
Filed under: Salmonella sp. FORC89
Lineage: Bacteria; Pseudomonadati; Pseudomonadota; Gammaproteobacteria; Enterobacterales; Enterobacteriaceae
Description: tRNA-Gly
Source: RNAcentral
GGUGCUGGCAGCCCCGCUGGUGGCGAGGGUGAUGUUCUGAUUUUCCUCCGACCCACGGGGCCGGAGGAAACGGUAA